AUACGGAGGAUCCGAGCGUUAUCCGGAUUUAUUGGGUUUAAAGGGUGCGCAGGCGGCCAUUUAAGUCAGCGGUUAAAUCGUGGGGCUCAACCCCAUUCUGCCGUUGAUACUGGGUGGCUUGAUUGCGGUCGAGGUUGGCGGAAUUCGUUGUGUAGCGGUGAAAUGCAUAGAUAUGACGAAGGACACCGAUUGCGUAGGCAGCUGACCAGAGCGCAAAUGACGCUCAUGCACGAAAGUGCGGGGAUCGAACAGGAUUAGAUACCCUGGUAGUCCGCACAGUAAACGAUGAAUAUUUGUUUUCGGCGAUAUAAUGUCGGAGGCAAAGCGAAAGCGAUAAGUAUUCCACCUGGGGAGUACGCCGGCAACGGUGAAACUCAAAUGAAUUGACGGGG
Molecule: ribosomal RNA, 392 nt
Filed under: uncultured bacterium
Lineage: Bacteria
Description: partial 16S ribosomal RNA
Rfam family: Bacterial small subunit ribosomal RNA
Source: RNAcentral